UCCGUAGGUGAACCUGCGGAGGGAUCAUUACACAAAUAUGAAGGCGGGCUGGAACCUCUCGGGGUUACAGCCUUGCUGAAUUAUUCACCCUUGUCUUUUGCGUACUUCUUGUUUCCUUGGUGGGUUCGCCCACCACUAGGACAAACAUAAACCUUUUGUAAUUGCAAUCAGCGUCAGUAACAAAUUAAUAAUUACAACUUUCAACAACGGAUCUCUUGGUUCUGGCAUCGAUGAAGAACGCAGCGAAAUGCGAUAAGUAGUGUGAAUUGCAGAAUUCAGUGAAUCAUCGAAUCUUUGAACGCACAUUGCGCCCUUUGGUAUUCCAAAGGGCAUGCCUGUUCGAGCGUCAUUUGUACCCUCAAGCUUUGCUUGGUGUUGGGCGUCUUGUCUCUAGCUUUGCUGGAGACUCGCCUUAAAGUAAUUGGCAGCCGGCCUACUGAUUUCGGAGCGCAGCACAAGUCGCACUCUCUAUCAGCAAAGGUCUAGCAUCCAUUAAGCCUUUUUUUCAACUUUUGACCUCGGAUCAGGUAGGGAUACCCGCUGAACUUAAGCAUAUCAAUAAGCGGAGG
This 569-nucleotide ribosomal RNA is filed under the name Alternaria alternata. RNAcentral describes it as "eukaryotic LSU rRNA". The stretch from base 196 to 349 matches the Rfam family "5.8S ribosomal RNA". Lineage: Eukaryota; Fungi; Ascomycota; Dothideomycetes; Pleosporales; Pleosporaceae. The record is from RNAcentral.